RNAcentral lists this ribosomal RNA (540 nucleotides) under uncultured fungus. RNAcentral describes it as "eukaryotic LSU rRNA". The stretch from base 150 to 303 matches the Rfam family "5.8S ribosomal RNA". Lineage: Eukaryota; Fungi. The record is from RNAcentral.
GCCGUCGGGUUGUUGCUGGUUCUUACAAGUGCACGCCCGGCGCGUUCUCCCAUCCACCCCUCUGUGCAUCGUGACGCGUCUCGCGGGACGCGGUCCUUUAUACUACCCUUUUGUAAUUGAGCGAACGCGAUAUAACGUAUUAAAUGUACAACUAUCAACAACGGAUCUCUUGGCAUCCCGCUCGAUGAAGAACGCACCGAAUUGCGAUAAGUAAUGUGAAUUGCAGAAUUCAGUGAAUCAUCGAAUCUUUGAACGCACCUUGCACCUUUUGGUAUUCCGAAAGGUACGCCCGGUUGAGUAUUAUGAACACCUCAAUCCAACGGUCUCUGAUUGCAAAGGUCCCAUGUUCGGCGAAGCCCUUCUGUGGAGGGGUGGUAGCUGAAGUCGGACUUGGAGGCCUGUUGGACUUGGACUUGAGCGACGACUGUCGGUCCGCUUGGAUCGACUCGCUCGAAAUGCAUUAGCUGGCGACCCGUCUUACGGUUCCACUCGACGUAGUAAGUUCUAUUUCGUUGAGGACGCCUCUCCGGAGGUGGCCGU